This 243-nucleotide long non-coding RNA is filed under the name Gossypium barbadense (sea-island cotton). RNAcentral's name for it is "long non-coding RNA (GBAR_LNC001998)". The record is from RNAcentral. Lineage: Eukaryota; Viridiplantae; Streptophyta; Magnoliopsida; Malvales; Malvaceae.
UGAUGUAAUGUAAUUCAAUUAUAAAUAAAACAAAAAUAAAACACGUUAGUGUAGGAUAAAUAAAUAACAAAUAAAGCAAUUCGGGUGACCACUAGGGGUUCGGAGUGGCUCUACCUAGGGUGGGCUCCUAGGUCUCUCUAUAUGUGGUUUGGUUCUAGAGUAAGGGUACCUGAACCAACAGAUUCCUCGAUCCUCACCCAUUAUAGGCUCAUUUGAAUCGAGUUCAAUUCAGGGGAAUACAUU